UACACUCCUACGGGAGGCAGCAGUGGGGAAUAUUGGACAAUGGGCGCAAGCCUGAUCCAGCCAUGCCGCGUGAGUGAUGAAGGCCCUAGGGUUGUAAAGCUCUUUCACCGGUGAAGAUAAUGACGGUAACCGGAGAAGAAGCCCCGACUAACUUCGUGCCAGCAGCCGCGGUAAUACGAAGGGGGCUAGCGUUGUUCGGAUUUACUGGGCGUAAAGCGCACGUAGGCGGACUAUUAAGUCGGGGGUGAAAUCCCGGGGCUCAACCCCGGAACUGCCUUUGAUACUGGUAGUCUUGAGUUCGAGAGAGGUGAGUGGAAUUCCGAGUGUAGAGGUGAAAUUCGUAGAUAUUCGGAGGAACACCAGUGGCGAAGGCGGCUCACUGGCUCGAUACUGACGCUGAGGUGCGAAAGCGUGGGGAGCAAACAGGAUUAGAAACCCCGGUAGUCCCA
Molecule: ribosomal RNA, 449 nt
Filed under: uncultured organism
Description: partial 16S ribosomal RNA
Rfam family: Bacterial small subunit ribosomal RNA
Source: RNAcentral